RNAcentral lists this microRNA precursor (103 nucleotides) under Marmota monax (woodchuck). Lineage: Eukaryota; Metazoa; Chordata; Mammalia; Rodentia; Sciuridae. The record is from RNAcentral.
AGUGGGAUAACUGGGUUAAAUGGUGAUUCCAUUCCAAGUUUUCUGAGGAAUCUCCAUACUGCUUUCCAGUGUGAAUGCACCAAUUUGCAGUCCCACCAGCAAU